UACGUAGGGGGCUAGCGUUGUCCGGAUUUAUUGGGCGUAAAGAGCGUGUAGGCGGCCCCUUAAGUCCUGCGUGAAAUCCUGCGGCUCAACCGCAGACGGUCGUGGGAAACUGGAGGGCUAGAGUGCGGGAGAGGAGAGUGGAAUUCCCGGUGUAGCGGUGAAAUGCGCAGAUAUCGGGAAGAACACCCGUGGCGAAGGCGGCUCUCUGGAACGCAACUGACGCUGAGACGCGAAAGCGUGGGGAGCAAACAGG
This 253-nucleotide ribosomal RNA is filed under the name uncultured bacterium. RNAcentral's name for it is "partial 16S ribosomal RNA". It matches the Rfam family "Bacterial small subunit ribosomal RNA", at positions 524 to 776 of the family's 1533-position model. The record is from RNAcentral.